GCUGGGCACAGUGGCAUGUGCCUAUAGUCCCAGCUAUUCGGGAGGCUGAGGCUGGAGGAUCGCUUGAGUCCAAGAGUUCUGGGCUGUAGUGCACUAUGCCAAUCGGGUGUCCGCACUAAGUUUGGCAUCAAUAUGGUGAACUCUCGGGAGCAGGGGACCACCAGGUUGCCUAAGGAGGGGUGAACCAGCCCAGGUCGGAAACGGAGCAGGCCAAAAGUCCCCUGCUGAUUAGUAGUGGGAUUGCACCUGUGAAUAGCCGCUGCACUCCAGCCUGGGCAACAUAGCGAGACCUCGUCUCA
This 299-nucleotide signal recognition particle RNA is filed under the name Saimiri boliviensis boliviensis (Bolivian squirrel monkey). Its description in RNAcentral is "Metazoan signal recognition particle RNA (ENSSBOG00000002607.1)". It matches the Rfam family "Metazoan signal recognition particle RNA". Rfam says of the family: The signal recognition particle (SRP) is a universally conserved ribonucleoprotein. It is involved in the co-translational targeting of proteins to membranes. The record is from RNAcentral. Lineage: Eukaryota; Metazoa; Chordata; Mammalia; Primates; Cebidae.